AGAGUUUGAUUAUGGCUCAGGAUGAACGCUGGCGGCGUGCCUAACACAUGCAAGUCGAACGGGGUUACUGGCAGCGGAGAUUUCGGUCAAAGCAGCCUUAACCUAGUGGCGGACGGGUGAGUAACGCGUGGGGAACCUGCCCUGUACUGGGGGAUAACAGUGAGAAAUCACUGCUAAUACCGCAUAAGCGCACAGCAUCGCAUGAUGCAGUGUGAAAAACUGAGGUGGUACAGGAUGGCUCCGCGUUGGAUUAGCCAGUUGGCGGGUAACGGCCCACCAAAGCGACGAUCCAUAGCCGGCCUGAGAGGGUGAACGGCCACAUUGGGACUGAGACACGGCCCAGACUCCUACGGGAGGCAGCAGUGGGGAAUAUUGCACAAUGGGGGAAACCCUGAUGCCAGCGACGCCGCGUGAAGGAAGAAGUAUCUCGGUAUGUAAACUUCUAUCAGCAGGGAAGAUGAUGACGGUACCUGACUAAGAAGCCCCGGCUAACUACGUGCCAGCCGCCGC
This 510-nucleotide ribosomal RNA is filed under the name uncultured bacterium. RNAcentral's name for it is "bacterial SSU rRNA". It matches the Rfam family "Bacterial small subunit ribosomal RNA", at positions 8 to 518 of the family's 1533-position model. The record is from RNAcentral.